Molecule: ribosomal RNA, 245 nt
Filed under: uncultured Pseudomonadota bacterium
Lineage: Bacteria; Pseudomonadati; Pseudomonadota
Description: uncultured proteobacterium partial 16S ribosomal RNA
Rfam family: Bacterial small subunit ribosomal RNA
Source: RNAcentral
UACGGAGGGAGCGAGCGUUGUUCGGAAUUACUGGGCGUAAAGCGUAUGUAGGCGGUUUUGUAAGUCAGAUGUGAAAUCCCAGAGCUUAACUUUGGAACUGCAUUUGAGACUGCAAGACUUGAAUAUCGGAGAGGUUGGCGGAAUUCCCAGUGUAGCAGUGAAAUGCGCAGAUAUUGGGAGGAACACCGAUGGCGUAGGCAGCCAACUGGACGAUUAUUGACGCUGAGAUACGAAAGCGUGGGGAG